GAUGAACGCUAGCGGCAGGCCUAAUGCAUGCAAGCUGAACGGUAAAUAUUGUAGCAAUACAAUAUGAGAGUAGCGUAAGGGUGCGUAACACGUAUGCAAUCUGCCCUGUACAGGAGGAUAGCUCGGGGGAACCCGGAUUAAUACUCCGUAAUAUUAUUGGGAGGCAUCUCUUGAUAAUUAAAGUCGCAAGACGGUAUGGGAUGAGCAUGCGUCUGAUUAGCUAGUUGGUGGUGUAACGGACCACCAAGGCGAUGAUCAGUAGGGGAACUGAGAGGUUGAUCCCCCACACUGGCACUGAGAUACGGGCCAGACUCCUACGGGAGGCAGCAGUAGGGAAUAUUGGUCAAUGGAUGCAAGUCUGAACCAGCCAUGCCGCGUGCAGGAAGAAGGCCUUCUGGGUUGUAAACUGCUUUUGCCGGGGGAUAAAAAGUCCAUGCGUGGACAAUUGAAGGUACCCGGUGAAUAAGCCACGGCUAACUACGUG
This 484-nucleotide ribosomal RNA is filed under the name uncultured bacterium. Its description in RNAcentral is "bacterial SSU rRNA". It matches the Rfam family "Bacterial small subunit ribosomal RNA", at positions 28 to 507 of the family's 1533-position model. The record is from RNAcentral.